UUUGGAAGUAAAAGUCGUAACAAGGUUUCGGUAGGGUGAACCUGCGGAAGGAUCAUUACCGAGGUGCGGGCCCCUCGGGGCCCAACCUCCCACCCGUGUUGCCCGAACCCUAUGUUGCCUCGGCGGGCCCCGCGCCCGCCGACGGCCCCCCUGAACGCUGUCUGAAGUUGCAGUCUGAGACCUAUAACGAAAUUAGUUAAAACUUUCAACAACGGAUCUCUUGGUUCCGGCAUCGAUGAAGAACGCAGCGAAAUGCGAUAACUAAUGUGAAUUGCAGAAUUCAGUGAAUCAUCGAGUCUUUGAACGCACAUUGCGCCCUCUGGUAUUCCGGAGGGCAUGCCUGUCCGAGCGUCAUUGCUGCCCUCAAGCCCGGCUUGUGUGUUGGGCCCCGUCCCCCCCGCCGGGGGGACGGGCCCGAAAGGCAGCGGCGGCACCGCGUCCGGUCCUCGAGCGUAUGGGGCUUCGUCACCCGCUCUAGUAGGCCCGGCCGGCGCCAGCCGACCCCCAACCUUUAAUUAUCUCAGGUGACCUCGAUCAGUGAGAUACAA
This 548-nucleotide ribosomal RNA is filed under the name Penicillium griseofulvum. RNAcentral describes it as "partial 18S ribosomal RNA". The stretch from base 201 to 354 matches the Rfam family "5.8S ribosomal RNA". Lineage: Eukaryota; Fungi; Ascomycota; Eurotiomycetes; Eurotiales; Aspergillaceae. The record is from RNAcentral.